Molecule: long non-coding RNA, 1120 nt
Filed under: Gouania willdenowi (blunt-snouted clingfish)
Lineage: Eukaryota; Metazoa; Chordata; Actinopteri; Blenniiformes; Gobiesocidae
Description: lncRNA (ENSGWIG00000020746.1)
Source: RNAcentral
GGGCAUUUCUGUGGAUAUUCAACAUAUUUCAUGAGGGGAAUCAUCGGUUGUAUCUGGCAACCAGCUAGAGUCAGGAACAAAGCAGUGAAAUGGAGGACGGACAGAGCUGGAUGAUGACUACCGUUAAACUAGAAGAAGAAGAAGAAAAGGAACAAAUAUUAAGGAGGGAAGUGAAACUGAGUAUGAGUAAGACGGACAGUGAUGAUGAUGAUGAUGAAGGCUGCAGGAGGAAAGCUGUGCUGGAGGAGCUUCGUCAUCCCGACCAUGUGUGGGACGGAAUGUUUGCUCCAAAGAUGGAGAAAGCGGAGAAGAAGAAACGGAGGAGUUUUCAGAUGUGUGCUCUGUGAAGGAAGAGCAAUGCAUGUCUAAACGUUUUGAUGGAUCACAACAAGCUUUGGAUCUGAACAGUAUUCACACAGACACAGUGAUGCGUUUCCAUCUGCUGAAGCACACACGACUGAAUGUGGUGACGUUCCUCAACGAGCUGCCAUAAACUCAGCAUGACAUCAUCUCUUUCACCGUGGACGUAAACGCCUACACAGUGAGUUCAUGUCUGAUCUGCCACACACUGAGUUACAUCAUUUAUGUUGUUCACUCUCAGCCAAACUGCUUUGUUUUCACAGAAUACGCUGCUGUCAUUCACAGUGGGCGGAGUCUUCAAAGAAGUUGUUGUAGAUGAUAAAUCUAAAGAAUCUACAAGGUUUUCAUCACAGUUCCAGCAGUGGAUUCUGGUUUGUGCAUCAUCAACGACCAGCUCUUCAUCAGAAUGGCUACAACGGAGCAGAUCAGCAGAGCUUUUGUGCCCCGCCCCCUUCCUCCAGCCCAGUGCCCACCCUCACUGCCCCACAGCAGGAGAUGCUCAGCACCUUCUCCCUGAAGUCAGACAUGAACCUGGAAUGAUCCCUGAAGUAGGUGUCCUCUCCUAAUGCCGUCUACCAGACUAGGAUGAAUGUCACAGCUCACUGGUAAACACUGUGUGAUGCAGGUGUCUGCAGGACAACAAGUGGGACUUGAAAAAAGCAAAACUGUUCCAAAUAUUUUCACUAAAAUCAGAGUUAAUAACUUUUAAAAUAUAUUUAUUUUCAAAGGAAGAAGAAAAACAUUAUGGUUCAAUGUCUGC